GAUGAACGCUGGCGGCGUGCCUAAUACAUGCCAGUCGAGCGAACAGACGAGGAGCUUGCUCCUCUGACGUUAGCGGCGGACGGGUGAGUAACACGUGGAUAACCUACCUAUAAGACUGGGAUAACUUCGGGAAACCGGAGCUAAUACCGGAUAAUAUAUUGAACCGCAUGGUUCAAUAGUGAAAGACGGUUUUGCUGUCACUUAUAGAUGGAUCCGCGCCGCAUUAGCUAGUUGGUAAGGUAACGGCUUACCAAGGCAACGAUGCGUAGCCGACCUGAGAGGGUGAUCGGCCACACUGGAACUGAGACACGGUCCAGACUCCUACGGGAGGCAGCAGUAGGGAAUCUUCCGCAAUGGGCGAAAGCCUGACGGAGCAACGCCGCGUGAGUGAUGAAGGUCUUCGGAUCGUAAAACUCCGUUAUUAGGGAAGAACAAAUGUGUAAGUAACUAUGCACGUCUUGACGGUACCUAAUCAGAAAGCCACGGCUAACUACGUG
RNAcentral lists this ribosomal RNA (497 nucleotides) under uncultured bacterium. RNAcentral describes it as "partial 16S ribosomal RNA". It matches the Rfam family "Bacterial small subunit ribosomal RNA", at positions 28 to 507 of the family's 1533-position model. The record is from RNAcentral.